AACGCACAUUGCGCCCUUUGGUAUUCCGAAGGGCAUGCCUGUUCGAGCGUCAUUAUCACCCCUCGGGCCCCGUGCUCGGUGUUGGACGGCCGGUUCGGUGACCGAACCCCUCCUAAAGACAAUGACGGCGGCCUGUGGUUCCCCCGGUACACUGAGCCUUUGGCACGUGCCGGACGAGGGCGCCCAGGACCCGGUCCUCUCCUCUCAGCAGGAAACUUCUCAAGGUUGACCUCGGAUCAGGUAGGAAUACGCGCUGAACUUAA
This 263-nucleotide unclassified non-coding RNA is filed under the name uncultured fungus. RNAcentral's name for it is "partial contains 5.8S ribosomal RNA, internal transcribed spacer 2, and large subunit ribosomal RNA". The stretch from base 1 to 52 matches the Rfam family "5.8S ribosomal RNA", at positions 103 to 154 of the family's 154-position model. RNAcentral also lists the same sequence under 1 other name. Lineage: Eukaryota; Fungi. The record is from RNAcentral.